GCUGAAAAUUUAGCCCUAACCCAACCAAUGCAACACAAAUAACUCACCUCACUCACUAAAACAUUCUAAUACUUUAGUACAGGAGAUUGAAAAACUACUUGGAGCUAUACUAUACAGUACCGCAAGGGAAAAAUGAAAUAAAAAUGAAACAACUAUUAAGCAUAAAAAAGUAGAGAUUACCCCUCGUACCUUUUGCAUCAUGGUUUAACUAGUCUAAUCAAGCAAAAUGACUUAUAGUUUGACCUCCCGAAACUAAGCGAGCUACUUCAAGGCAGCUUAAUGAGCAAACCCGUCUCUGUUGCAAAAGAGUGGGAAGACCUUCAAGUAGGGGUGACAGACCUAACGAGCCUAGUGAUAGCUGGUUGCUCAAGAAAGGAAUUUAAGUUCAACCUAAAAUUAACUCAAUCUAAUAAAAUAAUAACCUUAAUUUUAGAGCAAUUCAAAUAAGGUACAGCCUAUUUGAAAAAGGACACAACCUAGACCAUCGGGUAACCUUAUAUACUUUACUCAACAAAGUGGGCCUAAAAGCAGCCACCUUUUAAAAAGCGUCAAAGCUUAAUCGAGUUAACAACUAAUUCCAGUACCACCUAAGAACCCUUAAACAAUAUUGAGCAAUUCUAUACUACUAUAGAAGAUUUUAUGUUAAAACUAGUAACAAGAAGAAGAACUUCUCAUACAAUGCAAGUGUAAAUCAGAUAGGACACCCCACUGAUAGUUAACACCUGUGAAUAAAAAAUAGCAACCUAACAAGAAAACCCUACUAAUCUAUGCGUUAAACUAACACCAGAGCAUUAAGAGAAAGAUUAAAAGAAAGAGAAGGAACUCGGCAAAUAUUAACCUCGCCUGUUUACCAAAAACAUCGCCUCUUGAAUAAAUAUAAGAGGUCCAGCCUGCCCAGUGACUCUGUUCAACGGCCGCGGUAUCCUAACCGUGCGAAGGUAGCGUAAUCACUUGUUCUUUAAAUGAGGACUAGUAUGAAUGGCACCACGAAGGUUAUACUGUCUCCUCUCUCUAAUCAGUGAAACUAAUCUCCCCGUGAAGAAGCGGGAAUAAACAUAUAAGACGAGAAGACCCUAUGGAGCUUUAAACUAUGUAACACUUGCACCACCACAACACAAAUUUCAGAAAAAUCUCUCCAACGCAUGCAAGCUUAUUACCAGUUUUAGGUUGGGGUGACCGCGGAGCAAAAAACAACCUCCACAUUGAAAGGAACUUACUCCUUAGCCAAGAGCCACACCUCCACGCACCAUUAUAAUGACAUUAAUUGACCCAAUAUUUUGAUCAACGAACCAAGUUACCCUAGGGAUAACAGCGCAAUCCAUUUCAAGAGCUCCUAUCGACAAAUGGGUUUACGACCUCGAUGUUGGAUCAGGGUAUCCCGGUGGUGCAGCCGCUACCAAAGGUUCGUUUGUUCAACGAUUAAAACCCUACGUGAUCUGAGUUCAGACCGGAGUAAUCCAGGUCAGUUUCUAUCUAUAAAGAGCUUUCUCUAGUACGAAAGGACCGAAAAAGCACGGCCCCUAUAAUAUAUAAGCCCUAGCUAAUAACUUAUGACUCACACUCAAUAAAAACUUAGCCUAAUACCCCCCUCAAGACAAGAGCA
This 1603-nucleotide ribosomal RNA is filed under the name Espadarana prosoblepon (emerald glass frog). RNAcentral describes it as "16S ribosomal RNA". It matches the Rfam family "Bacterial large subunit ribosomal RNA", at positions 388 to 2925 of the family's 2925-position model. The record is from RNAcentral. Lineage: Eukaryota; Metazoa; Chordata; Amphibia; Anura; Centrolenidae.